CCUACUUUUGCUGUGUGGAAGCUUUUUCUCCUCCUCCUCCCUCGUUUUGUUUCUGCUUGGUCUUUAGGUCUGUGCUGCUUUUGUGAAUUGUAGCACUCAUUAUGAAGGUCUGUGGCUUCACUUCUGAAGCCAGUGAGCCCACAAAUUCACUGAGACGUAACUCCAGACGUGCCAGUUUUACGAGCUAUAACAUUCACUGUGAAAGUUAGUAGCCUCACUUCUGAGCAAGGAAGACUACAUAAUCCACCAAAAGGAAAAAAACUGAACACAUUGGAACAUUAGAAGGAGCAAGCUCCAGACAUGCCGCUUAUAAGAAAUUUAAUACUCACUGUUAAGGGCCCAUGGUUUCAUUUUUGAAGUCGGUGAAACCGGGCACUGACCAAUUCUGGACACACCAGCAGCCCUGGAAAAGCAUAAGUUUGUGAAGACUAUUUGGAAAGUCUGAGUCCCUGUCCCUGGAGUGUGUCUUUUCUGUGUGUGUGUGUGGUUGUGUUGGUUUUUUUUUUUUUUGGAGUUUUUGGUCUUGGUUCCCAAGUUGGACUGCGUAUGAUCUCAACUCACUGCAACCUCUGCUUGCUGGGUUCAAGUGAUUCUCCUGCCUCAGCCUCUGCUAGCAGCUGGGAUUACAGUGUUUGUGACGAUGCUGCCUAUAAAACAGAAGACACUUGUUCAUCCAGCACAGCUGCCAGCAAGAUCAUCUAGAUUAAAGUCACUACGCCACAGCAGGUGACGAAGAUGUGUUCUCUGAAAUUAUAAAGUGACUCAAGCUCUGAAAAUCUGUGGAAAGAAACUUAAGGACAGAAAAUCCUAACAGGUCUCAACGGCAUCUGUUCAUUACAUCUUUUCCAAAAAGAAGUCCAUCCUCUCAUUUUUUCUUUUUAAACAAGACUUUCAUCCUAGCACAAACCUAUGACCAAAACGUCAUCAAAAGGAAGGAAAGGAAGAAGGUUGAGGAAUGAAAAAAAAAGUCAGAUGAGUGAUUUUACAUACACGAUCUCAUUCAAUUUAUUGCUCGCCAAGACCUAUAAAAAUAGAUAUUAACCUAGCAAUUGUACUCUUAGGUAUUUAUCCCAGAGAAAUUACAAUGUACAUUAACAUAAAAACCCAUAUAAGAAUGUUCAUAGGAGUCUUGUUCAUAAUAGCCCAAAAUUUGGAGACAGUCCAAAUGUCCUUUAAUGAAUAGUUAAACUGUGUACAUCCAAACUACAAACUAUCACUUAGCAAUCAAAAGGAACAAAUUCACAAUAAAUGCAACAACUUGGAUGAAGCUCCAAGGAAGUAUGCAGAGUGGAAAAAAAUCCCACACACGCCUACAUGAUUCUAUGUAUAUAACAUUAUUGAUAAUACAAAGUUUUGGAAGUGAACAGAUUUGUGGCUGCCAGGCAUUGAGGGGGGUCAUGAUGAAGACAGGUAGGUGUGGCUGUAAAAGGACAACAGGAGAGGUCAGAGUUCUUUGUGGUCAUGGCUGGGGAAGUAAAUACACAAACCUACACAUGCGAUAUAGUUAUUUAGAACAAAAUACACAUGAGUAACAGUGAAACUGAAUAAAAU
This 1551-nucleotide long non-coding RNA is filed under the name Homo sapiens (human). RNAcentral describes it as "HSALNT0101233". Lineage: Eukaryota; Metazoa; Chordata; Mammalia; Primates; Hominidae. The record is from RNAcentral.